ACGGAGCAAUGCCGCGUGAAGGACGAAGGCCUGUGGGUCGUAAACUUCUUUUAUCAGAGAUGAAAAAAUGACGGUAUCUGAUGAAUAAGCUCCGGCUAACUUCGUGCCAGCAGCCGCGGUAAUACGAGGGGAGCUAGCGUUAUCCGGAAUGAUUGGGCGUAAAGCGUUUGUAGGUGGCUUAUAAAGUCUACUGUCAAAUAUCGAGGCUCAACCUCGAACCGGCAGUGGAGUACUCAUAAGCUUGAGUGUGGUAGAGGUAGAGGGAAUUCCAUGUGGAGCGGUGAAAUGCGUAGAGAUAUGGAAGAACACCAGCGGCGAAGGCGCUCUACUGGGCCAAGACUGACACUGAGAAACGAAAGCUGGGGGAGCGAAAAGGAUUAGAUACCCUUGUAGUCCCAGCUGUAAACUAUGAAGACUAAGUGCUGCCUAAAGCAGUGCUGUAGCUAACGCGUUAAGUCUUCCGCCUGGGGAGUAUGCUCGCAAGAGUG
This 488-nucleotide ribosomal RNA is filed under the name uncultured cyanobacterium. RNAcentral's name for it is "bacterial SSU rRNA". It matches the Rfam family "Bacterial small subunit ribosomal RNA", at positions 386 to 896 of the family's 1533-position model. Lineage: Bacteria; Bacillati; Cyanobacteriota. The record is from RNAcentral.